GCAAGUCGAACGGUAACAGGAGGAGCUUGCUCCUUGCUGACGAGUGGCGGACGGGUGAGUAACGCGUAGGAAUCUACCCGGUAGAGGGGGAUACCAGUUGGAAACGACUGUUAAUACCGCAUAAUAUCUGCGGAUUAAAGGUUGCCUUUGUGCAGCCGCUACCGGAUGAGCCUGCGUUAGAUUAGUUAGUUGGUGGGGUAAAGGCCUACCAAGACCGCGAUCUAUAGCUGAUUUGAGAGGAUGAUC
Molecule: ribosomal RNA, 246 nt
Filed under: uncultured bacterium
Lineage: Bacteria
Description: partial 16S ribosomal RNA
Rfam family: Bacterial small subunit ribosomal RNA
Source: RNAcentral